RNAcentral lists this ribosomal RNA (503 nucleotides) under Rhopalorhynchus filipes. Its description in RNAcentral is "partial 16S ribosomal RNA". It matches the Rfam family "Bacterial large subunit ribosomal RNA", at positions 1825 to 2600 of the family's 2925-position model. Lineage: Eukaryota; Metazoa; Arthropoda; Pycnogonida; Pantopoda; Colossendeidae. The record is from RNAcentral.
GUCUUUAUGGUAAUAAAUAUAAAGUCGUGCCUGCCCAUUGAUUAAAAUAUAAUUAAAAGGCCGCAGUAAUUUGACUGUGCAAAGGUAGCAUAAUCAUUUGUUUUUUAAUUGAAGACUGGAAUGAAUGGUUUGACGUGAAAAUUACUUUAUUAUUAUUUUUUAUUAAAAUUAAAUUUUAGGUUAAAAUGCCUAAAUUUAUUUAAGGGACGAAAAGACCCCAUUAAGUUUUAUAAAAAUUUUUAUUUGUAAUGAUAACAUUACAGAUAAAUUUUAUUAUUUUACUGGGGCGGUGCAAAUAGAUUAUCUUAUUUUAAUAAAAAUGAAUUUUAUUUUAUAAUUUACCUAUAUUAUGGAUAAAUAAAUUAAUUACUAUGGGGGUAACAGCGUAAUUUUUUUUUGGAGUUCAUAUUUAAAAAAGAGUUUGCGACCUCGAUGUUGGAUUAUUAUAACUGAUAGAUGAAGUAGUUUAUUAAGUGAGUCUGUUCGACUUUUAAAUUAAUACA